AUUGAACGCUGGCGGCAUGCUUCACACAUGCAAGUCGAGCGGUAACAGGCCUUCGGGUGCUGACGAGUGGCGCACGGGUGAGUAAUGCAUCGGAACGUACCCAGAGGUGGGGGAUAACGCAGCGAAAGCUGUGCUAAUACCGCAUGUGAUCUGAGGAUGAAAGCGGGGGACCGAGCAGCAAUGUUUGGCCUCGCGCCUUUGGAGCGGCCGAUGUCGGAUUAGCUAGUUGGUGGGGUAAAGGCCUACCAAGGCGACGAUCCGUAGCUGGUCUAAGAGGACGACCAGCCACACUGGGACUGAGACACGGCCCAGACUCCUACGGGAGGCAGCAGUGGGGAAUUUUGGACAAUGGGCGCAAGCCUGAUCCAGCAAUGCCGCGUGCGGGAAGAAGGCCUUCGGGUUGUAAACCGCUUUUGGCAGGAACGAAACGGUGUCCGCUAAUACCGGGCGCUAAUGACGGUACCUGCAGAAUAAGCACCGGCUAACUACGUG
Molecule: ribosomal RNA, 492 nt
Filed under: uncultured bacterium
Lineage: Bacteria
Description: partial 16S ribosomal RNA
Rfam family: Bacterial small subunit ribosomal RNA
Source: RNAcentral